Long non-coding RNA from Polyodon spathula (Mississippi paddlefish), 891 nucleotides. RefSeq lists it as uncharacterized. The transcript is spliced from 6 exons. NCBI's taxonomy places the organism in Eukaryota, Metazoa, Chordata, Actinopteri, Acipenseriformes, Polyodontidae. The record is from RefSeq and is a predicted model, not a curated record.
CGAAACACGCUAUUGUACAGGUGAAUUCUAUUUUCAAAUUUUAAUAAAAUGUGUUUUAAUAUGUGUUUGUAUCGGGGGAAUCGAGCAGAUACAGGGAGAGAACAAAACAAUACAAAAGAAAAAAAAAAAGGUACCGACUAGUUAAACCCACAAAACUAAAGCUAGUGUAACAAAUCAAUAAACAGGAAUGCAACAGCCGACCUCUCUCUGCGGGACCCGGUGACUGCUCCGCGCAAAGACGGCAACUCUUGCAAAGGAAAGCUGCGCAAGAUUUAAACAACAACUGACCCACAAGCGUAAUCUGAGGACACAUUUCGAGCAAUGGGAGGAAGACGAGAGAUGAAUGCCGCCUUCUAGCAGAUUUGUCACUUUUGCAUGAAGAGCAUUUGUCAUCUGGGAGACAAGCAGCAGCUGGGAUGUCCGAUGCAAGAAGAAAUCGUCCUAAUGUAAAGAAGUCUUCAGGUUCAACUGAUUUGAAAAGUGGAGUAGAGUGGAUUAUCAAGAUAUUCAAGAACAAGACUACUUGACCCCGUACAACUGAGGAGAUUCUCAAGUGGAGACUACUGGUAUGUCACCAAGAUGGCGCCUUCUUUAUCUGUGAUUUUGGGACAACUAUCAUGGCAAGGCUGAUUUCAUUGACUCAAAAUGGAUUCUGUUGAUUAAACUGCAUUUUUACUUGCCAUGUUUUUAUAAGAUUAAUUUCAUAUUUGGAAGCUAUUUUAAAUCUACAAAAAAAUGCAAUGGCUAUUUAUGACUGUAUUUCAAAAGUGUGUAACUGAAUAUUUGAAUCAUUUUUCAUGGGGAGAUGUCAUGAACUCUGUAUACUUAAAGCAUACAAAUAUUUUGUUAGAUUGCUCUGAAGGAUACAAAAUAAAACAUCAUUAAUAUAAA